AUGACUCAAGAGCAAGUACUUAAUUUGGAAGGUGAAGGAACUGCUGGUAGCUCUCUGUACAGCAGCUGUAUAAAUACCGCUCAGGCAGACUUCUUGGCAAAUACAGCAAGGCUGCUACAAACAGCCAAAAACAAAGCGGAAUUGUUCUAGGAAAUGAACUACUUGAACAGCGGAGGACACUUUGCCCUAUUUGAUAUGGAAAGCACAGCCAAGGGUAUGGAUAUCAGAGCCUCAGAGUUAGGAGCUGCUCCAAGCCUUCUUCCCUAGAUGCCUCACACCCCUCCUGGACAACUUCCAAGUAUCACAGCUCUGGAUGGCCGCUCAUCUUCUGUGUACAGACUCCAACCCAGCUGAAACCCAUUUCAUGAAAUGUACUUUAUAUAAACCUAAUUUAUUAAAGA
RNAcentral lists this long non-coding RNA (401 nucleotides) under Pan troglodytes (chimpanzee). RNAcentral describes it as "lincRNA". The record is from RNAcentral. Lineage: Eukaryota; Metazoa; Chordata; Mammalia; Primates; Hominidae.